Molecule: ribosomal RNA, 452 nt
Filed under: uncultured bacterium
Lineage: Bacteria
Description: bacterial SSU rRNA
Rfam family: Bacterial small subunit ribosomal RNA
Source: RNAcentral
UACGGAAGGCAGCAGUGGGGAAUAUUGCACAAUGGGCGCAAGCCUGAUGCAGCCAUGCCGCGUGUAUGAAGAAGGCCUUCGGGUUGUAAAGUACUUUCAGUCGUGAGGAAGGUGUUAAGGUUAAUAACCUUAGCAAUUGACGUUAGCGACAGAAGAAGCACCGGCUAACUCCGUGCCAGCAGCCGCGGUAAUACGGAGGGUGCGAGCGUUAAUCGGAAUUACUGGGCGUAAAGGGCACGCAGGCGGUUAAUUAAGUUGGAUGUGAAAUCCCCGGGCUUAACCUGGGAAUGGCAUUCAAGACUGGUUAGCUAGAGUCUUGUAGAGGGGGUUAGAAUUCCAUGUGUAGCGGUGAAAUGCGUAGAGAUGUGGAGGAAUACCGGUGGCGAAGGCGGCCCCUUGACAAAGACUGACGCUCAUGUGCGAAAGCGUGGGGAGCAAACAGGGAUUAGAUA